UGGGGAAUAUUGCACAAUGGGCGGAAGCCUGAUGCAGCAACGCCGCGUGCGGGAUGACGGCCUUCGGGUUGUAAACCGCUUUCGCCUGUGACGAAGCGUGAGUGACGGUAAUGGGUAAAGAAGCACCGGCUAACUACGUGCCAGCAGCCGCGGUGAUACGUAGGGUGCGAGCGUUGUCCGGAUUUAUUGGGCGUAAAGGGCUCGUAGGUGGUUGAUCGCGUCGGAAGUGUAAUCUUGGGGCUUAACCCUGAGCGUGCUUUCGAUACGGGUUGACUUGAGGAAGGUAGGGGAGAAUGGAAUUCCUGGUGGAGCGGUGGAAUGCGCAGAUAUCAGGAGGAACACCAGUGGCGAAGGCGGUUCUCUGGGCCUUUCCUGACGCUGAGGAGCGAAAGCGUGGGGAGCGAACAGGCUUAGAUACCCUGGUAGUCCACGCUGUAAACGGUGGGUACUAGGUGUGGGGUCCAUUCCACGGGUUCCGUGCCGUAGCUAACGCUUUAGGUACCCCGCCUGGGGAGUACGGCCGCAAGGCUAAAACUCAAAGGAAUUGACGGGGUCAUAGCUGUUUCCU
This 568-nucleotide ribosomal RNA is filed under the name uncultured bacterium. RNAcentral describes it as "partial 16S ribosomal RNA". It matches the Rfam family "Bacterial small subunit ribosomal RNA", at positions 355 to 1375 of the family's 1533-position model. The record is from RNAcentral.